Small nuclear RNA from Cricetulus griseus (Chinese hamster), 165 nucleotides. Its record names the gene U1. It matches the Rfam family "U1 spliceosomal RNA". Rfam says of the family: U1 is a small nuclear RNA (snRNA) component of the spliceosome (involved in pre-mRNA splicing). Lineage: Eukaryota; Metazoa; Chordata; Mammalia; Rodentia; Cricetidae. The record is from Ensembl.
CUACUUACCUGGCAGGAGAGAUACCAUGAUCACUAAGGAGGUGUUUCCAGGGCUAGACUCAUUCAUUGCACUCCAGAUGUGCUGACCCCUGCCGUUUCUCCACUUAAGGGAAACUUGACUGCAUAAUUUGUGGUAGUGGGGGGACUGCGUUUGUGCUCUCCCCUG